Molecule: ribosomal RNA, 253 nt
Filed under: uncultured prokaryote
Description: partial 16S ribosomal RNA
Rfam family: Bacterial small subunit ribosomal RNA
Source: RNAcentral
ACGUAGGGUGCAAGCGUUAAUCGGAAUUACUGGGCGUAAAGCGUGCGCAGGCGGUUCGUUGUGUCGGCGGUGAAAGCCCCGGGCUCAACCUGGGAAUGGCCGUUGAAACUGGCGAACUGGAGUGUGGCAGAGGGGGGUGGAAUUCCUGGUGUAGCGGUGAAAUGCGUAGAUAUCAGGAGGAAUACCGGUGGCGAAAGCGACUCUCUGGACGGCAACUGACGCUGAGGCACGAAAGCGUGGGGAGCAAACAGGA